GGUGAUAUAACUCAAUAGUAGAGUGCUUGUCUACAGAGCAGGGGGCCCUGAGUUCAAAGUUUAGUACCACCA
Molecule: transfer RNA, 72 nt
Filed under: Dipodomys ordii (Ord's kangaroo rat)
Lineage: Eukaryota; Metazoa; Chordata; Mammalia; Rodentia; Heteromyidae
Rfam family: tRNA
About the family: Transfer RNA (tRNA) molecules are approximately 80 nucleotides in length. Their secondary structure includes four short double-helical elements and three loops (D, anti-codon, and T loops). Further hydrogen bonds mediate the characteristic L-shaped molecular structure. tRNAs have two regions of fundamental functional importance: the anti-codon, which is responsible for specific mRNA codon recognition, and the 3' end, to which the tRNAs corresponding amino acid is attached (by aminoacyl-tRNA synthetases). tRNAs cope with the degeneracy of the genetic code in two manners: having more than one tRNA (with a specific anti-codon) for a particular amino acid; and 'wobble' base-pairing, i.e. permitting non-standard base-pairing at the 3rd anti-codon position.
Source: Rfam by way of RNAcentral